GCGUCGGUAGUGCAACGCUUCAGCACGCGCCCUGGAUAGGGUGAACUCUGUGUUCAAAUCCCAGCUGGCGCA
This is a non-coding RNA of Parelaphostrongylus tenuis, 72 nucleotides long. NCBI's taxonomy places the organism in Eukaryota, Metazoa, Nematoda, Chromadorea, Rhabditida, Metastrongylidae. The record is from the annotation of a GenBank genome assembly.